UAAGGAAUAUUGGUCAAUGGACGCAAGUCUGAACCAGCCAUGCCGCGUGAAGGAUGAAGGUCCUCUGGAUUGUAAACUUCUUUUAUUUGGGACGAAAAAAGGUCUUUCUAGAUCACUUGACGGUACCAUAUGAAUAAGCACCGGCUAACUCCGUGCCAGCAGCCGCGGUAAUACGGAGGGUGCAAGCGUUAUCCGGAUUCACUGGGUUUAAAGGGUGCGUAGGUGGGCUUGUAAGUCAGUGGUGAAAUCUCUAGGCUUAACCUGGAAACUGCCAUUGAUACUAUAAGCCUUGAAUUUUCUGGAGGUAAGCGGAAUAUGUCAUGUAGCGGUGAAAUGCUUAGAUAUGACAUAGAACACCAAUUGCGAAGGCAGCUUGCUACAGGAACAUUGACACUGAGGC
RNAcentral lists this ribosomal RNA (400 nucleotides) under uncultured bacterium. RNAcentral describes it as "bacterial SSU rRNA". It matches the Rfam family "Bacterial small subunit ribosomal RNA", at positions 355 to 752 of the family's 1533-position model. The record is from RNAcentral.